This 830-nucleotide ribosomal RNA is filed under the name uncultured Planctomycetota bacterium. Its description in RNAcentral is "bacterial SSU rRNA". It matches the Rfam family "Bacterial small subunit ribosomal RNA", at positions 57 to 896 of the family's 1533-position model. Lineage: Bacteria; Pseudomonadati; Planctomycetota. The record is from RNAcentral.
GCAAGUCGUGCGGAAAGGCUCCUUCGGGAGUACUCGAGCGGCGAAAGGGAGAGUAACGCGUGGACUAUCUACCCCUCGGUCCGGGAUAGCGGCGGGAAACUGCCGGUAAUACCGGAUGAUAUCUCUGGAUCAAAGGUGAGAUUCCGCCGGGGGAUGAGUCCGCGUCCUAUUAGCUUGUUGGUGGGGUAACGGCCUACCAAGGCUUUGAUGGGUACCGGGUGUGAGAGCAUGGCCCGGCUCACUGGGACUGAGACACUGCCCAGAUACCUACGGGUGGCUGCAGUCGAGAAUCUUCGGCAAUGGGCGCAAGCCUGACCGAGCGACGCCGCGUGCGGGAUGAAGGCCUUCGGGUUGUAAACCGCUGUCAGAGGGGAGGAAAUGCAUGAGGGUUCUCUCUCAUGUUUGACCUAUCCUCAGAGGAAGUACGGGCUAAGUUCGUGCCAGCAGCCGCGGUAAUACGAACCGUACGAACGUUACUCGGAAUCACUGGGCUUAAAGAGUGCGUAGGCGGCUUGGCAAGUUGGGUGUGAAAUCCCUCGGCUCAACCGAGGAAUUGCGCUCAAAACUGCUAAGCUUGAGGGAGAUAGGGGUGAGCGGAACUAAUGGUGGAGCGGUGAAAUGCGUUGAUAUCAUUAGGAACACCGGAGGCGAAAGCGGCUCACUGGGUCUCUUCUGACGCUGAGGCACGAAAGCUAGGGGAGCGAACGGGAUUAGAUACCCCGGUAGUCCUAGCUGUAAACGAUGAGCACUGGGUCGAGGGGGCUUCCACACCUUCUCGGCCGUAGCGAAAGUGUUAAGUGCUCCGCCUGGGGAGUAUGGUCGCAAGGCAA